UACGUAGGCAGCAAGCGUUGUUCGGAAUUACUGGGCGUAAAGAGUGUGUAGGCGGUGUUCUAAGUCUGUCGUGAAAUCUCCCGGCUUAACUGGGAGGGUGCGGCGGAAACUGGAAUGCUAGAGGGUGGGAGAGGAAAGCGGAAUUCCUGGUGUAGCGGUGAAAUGCGUAGAUAUCAGGAGGAACACCUGUGGUGUAGACAGCUUACUGGACCAUUUCUGACGCUGAGACACGAAAGCGUGGGUAGCAAACAGG
Molecule: ribosomal RNA, 253 nt
Filed under: uncultured bacterium
Lineage: Bacteria
Description: partial 16S ribosomal RNA
Rfam family: Bacterial small subunit ribosomal RNA
Source: RNAcentral